UCUACGGGAGGCAGCAGUGGGGGAUAUUGCGCAAUGGGGGGAACCCUGAUGCAGCAACGCCGCGUGAGUGAAGAAGCGCCUCGGCGCGUAAAGCCCUGUCAGCAAGGAAGAAAGUGACGGUACCUGAAGAAGAAGCACCGGCUAACUACUUGCCGGCAGCCGCGGUAAUACGUGGGGGGCAAGAGGUAUCAGGAUUUACUGGUGGUAAAGGGGGCGCAGCCGGCGAUGCAAGACAGGAGUGAAAGCCCGGGGCCGAACCCCGGGACUGCUCUUGGAACUGCGUGGCUGGAGUGAAGGAGGGGCAGGCGGAAUUCCUGGUGUAGCGGUGAAAUGCGUAGAUAUAAGGAGGAACACCGGUGGCGAAGGCGGCCUGCUGGACUGCAACUGACGGUGAGGCCCGAAAGCGUGGGGAGCAAACAGGAUUAGAUACCCCUGUAGUC
This 440-nucleotide ribosomal RNA is filed under the name uncultured bacterium. RNAcentral describes it as "partial 16S ribosomal RNA". It matches the Rfam family "Bacterial small subunit ribosomal RNA", at positions 338 to 795 of the family's 1533-position model. The record is from RNAcentral.